Molecule: ribosomal RNA, 271 nt
Filed under: uncultured archaeon
Lineage: Archaea
Description: partial 16S ribosomal RNA
Rfam family: Archaeal small subunit ribosomal RNA
Source: RNAcentral
CAGCGCCACGAGUGGCAUCCGCGAUUAUUGGGCCAAAAGUGUCCGUAGCCGGUUUGGAAAGUCCUCUGUGAAAGUGGUAGGCUCAACCUAUCGAAUGGCAGAGGAUACUACCAGACUAGAGACCGGGAGGAGUUAGAGGUAUUCUGGGGGAAGCGGUAAAAUGCGAUAAUCCUCGGAGGACCACCUGUGGCGAAGGCGUCUAACCAGAACGGGUCUGACGGUGAGGGACGAAGGCUAGGGGAGCGAUCCGGAUUAGAUACCCGAGUAGUCC